GAUGAACGCUGGCGGCGUGCCUAAUACAUGCAAGUCGAGCGAACAGACGAUGAUCUUGCUCCUUUUACGUUAUCGGCGGACGUGUUAUUAACACGUAUUUAACCUACCUUUAUUACUUGGAUAACUUCGUGAAUCCGUAUCUAAUACCGUAUAAUAUUUCUAACCUCAUGGUUCUAUAGUUAAAUUUGUCUUUGCUAUCUCUUAUAGAUUUUCCUGCGCCGUAUUAUCUAGUUGGUAAGGUAACGGCUUACCAAGGCAACGAUACGUAUCCGACCUGAGAGGGUGAUAGGCCAAACGGGAAGUGAGACACGGAACAGAGUACUACGGGAGGCAGCAGAAGGGAAUAGGACGCAAUGGGCGAAAGCAUGACGGAGCAAAGCCGAGUGAGUGAUGAAGGUCUAAGGAUCGUAAAAAUCUGUUAUUAGGGAAGAAAAAACGUGUAAGUAAAUGUGCACGGAGUGACGGUAACUAAUAAGAAAGCAACGGCUAACUACGUG
Molecule: ribosomal RNA, 497 nt
Filed under: uncultured bacterium
Lineage: Bacteria
Description: partial 16S ribosomal RNA
Rfam family: Bacterial small subunit ribosomal RNA
Source: RNAcentral